CACGGGUGAGUAUCGCGUAUCCAACCUGCCCAUAAGUAGGGAAUAGCCUUGCGAAAGUAAGAUAAUGCCCUAUGGUUUCCAUUAAAGACAUCUGAGAUGGAAUAAAGAUUUAUCGCUUAGUGGAUGGGGAUGCGUCUGAUUAGGUAGUAGGCGGGGUAACGGCCCACCUAGCCGACGAUCAGUAGGGGUUCUGAGAGGAAGGUCCCCCACAUUGGAACUGAGACACGGUCCAAACUCCUACGGGAGGCAGCAGUGAGGAAUAUUGGUCAAUGGACGGAAGUCUAGAACCAGCCAAAAGUAGCGUGCAGGAUGACCGGCCCUAGUGGGUUGUAAACUGUCGUUUUUAGGGGAAUAAAGUUAGCCACGUGUGGUUAUUUGCAUGUACCCUACGAAUAAGGACCGGCUAAUUCCGUGCCAGCCGCGGC
Molecule: ribosomal RNA, 425 nt
Filed under: uncultured bacterium
Lineage: Bacteria
Description: bacterial SSU rRNA
Rfam family: Bacterial small subunit ribosomal RNA
Source: RNAcentral